AGGGCUACCAGAAAGCAGCCCACCCCCACCCUCAUAAAAAAAAAAAAAAAUAAGCGAGUGUGGGGACGAGCCAGCCCCACGCCGGUCCGCCUCCCGCCCGCCGCCGGGCCUCCCUCCCGCCUGCCCGCCGCCUAGCUCGGAGAUCCUGCGCCCAGAGUUCUCCGUUCCCAGGAUCCCGGGCUCGCGGGGGUGCGGAGAAGAGGACCCAGGAAAGGCCAGCUGAUUCACUACUCAACUUGAUGUGGGUAACUUUGGGGAUCUCUGUGUACAAUCUGGGUCUGACCUCAGCUCUGACACGGGAUAGCUAUGUGAUUUCAGGCCCUGGGCAGGUGGACGCUCCUGAUAAUUUGUGAAAAUGUGGACCACUCUGCUCACACAGCAUCUCCUUUGAGUCUGAAGUUUUGACCCUCCCCAUUCCACUUUGGCUUUUGGAUCAAGAAAAUGGUCAAAGGAUGGCUAUGUUAAAGCCGCAGCGAGAAAACUGAGGCUCUGGGAAGCUAAGGAAUUUAUCCAGGGCCUCCCAACCAGUCAUGAAGCUGUUCCCAGGGACUUUGCGCUGCUGCUCUAUUAUUUCAAGUCAGGUCUUGAGACAAAAUGCACAUCCUGAAGUUCUCUCUUAGUGUUCUAAUGGGAACACGGUGGGCGGUGGGCAUCCCGCUUCCUAAGGAGCCAGGUCUGUGCUGCCCAAUACAGUAGUCACCAGCCACAUGAAGCUACUUAAACUUUCUGAGAUUAAAAAUCUAUAUCUUGGGGGCUGGAGAGAUAGCUCAGUGGUUAAGAGCACUGACUGCUCUUCUGGAGGUCCUGAGUUCAAUUCCCAGCAACGGCAGUGUCCCACAACCAUCUAUACUAGGAUCUGAUGUCCUCUUCGGGCAUGCAGGUGAACAUGCAGAUAGAGCAGUCCUCUACAUAAAAAAUUUAAAUAAAUAAAUAUAUCUUUAAAAACAUCUAUAUCUUGGGCUGAAGACAUGGCUCAUUGGUUAAGAGCGCUGGCUGCUCUUCCAGAGGACACAGGUUCAAUUCCCAGCACCCACAUGGUAGUUUGCAGCUAUCUGUGACUCCAGUUUCAAGGGACCCUGAGUGUGAUCACUUGUAAAGGGAUGCUUGACCUCAGAGUGUCUGGAAGUGUCUGUGCAAAGGCCCUGGUUAAACACUCCAGAACCUUAGCUAUGGUCAUUACCUUGCUGUAGAUGACUUCUGUGUCACUGUGUUUGCACUGGACGGAUGCUCCCCAAAGGCAUUCUUUGUGUGCACAUCUUUGUUCCAUCUUUGUUUGUCUUUGUUCCAUCCUUGAGGCCAGCUCUCACUGAUAAUAAGCUCUGGCAGUGUCUAAUAAAUAUAUUACAUAUUUGUUAAAACAAUGAGGGUUUUAGUCUCAAAAAACAUUCAUUAUCAUAAGCUUUAUGAUUUAUGUAUUUGUAUUUUUUUCCCCUUUCUUUUGAGGGACCAUUUUUUUAAAUGGGAUCUCACAAUGUAGUCCUGGUUGAUUUGAAAUUCAUUGUGUAGACCAGGCAGAACUUGAAUUCACAGAGGUCUACCUGCCUCUGCCUCCUGAGUAUUGGGAUUACAAGUGUGUACCACUGUGACUGGCUUGGGAGAAAUCCAUUUAAGACCUUCGUGGAUGCCUGAAACUGUGAUAAAAUGGAAUAUGCAGCCUGUGUGCCCCCAUGAUGACAUUUGAUCUAUUGAUUAAAUGUGGUAAAGAGUAAUAAGAGAGGACAGCUGUAACAAUGCACACUAAUCCAAGCUGUAUGAGUGUGAUCUCCACCCGUCUCUCUCGCUGCACACACCCUUCCUAUGCCUCAUCAGGUGCCCGCAAGAUGAGAUGAAAUGACACAGAGCCAUUUGAACACAAGUGCUGAGCUGUCCUCACUGUAGAUGUCAUGGGCCAGGUGAUCACAUGGCUACCCAGCAGGUAGUAGACACAACAAGGAUAGCUGGUUCGAGGAUGGUUCGUGACUGGCAGGAUGGAGUAAGAUUUCCUCAGACUAUUCAGAAACGCAUGCAACGUAAAACUUGUGAGGUUUUUCUUUCUAGCGUUUUCCAUUUGAAAUUCGAUCACGGGUAACUGACACCAGGAAAAGCAAAAGUUGCACACCAGGGGAGUGUAGUCUCGUUCAGCUUCCUAGCAGAUGUACGAAUCUCUAGUAGCAAGUGGCUUUGCCAUGCGUGACUGGAGGUUGCUUGGACAUCCAGCAAUGGGGAACUUACUGUCUAUGGACAAACACCUUGCAGCUCGGACCUCCCUGCUGGACUGACGGUCCUGAGAGUCUGCGUGAGCCACAGAGCCACCCAGAAAGGGUCCUAUGCUUUAGGCCAUCCUUCCAUGCCUCUCCGUCAUCUGAAUCUCUUGGCCUUUGCAGAAACAGGGGUAGUGCAAAAUGUGUCUCCAGGCAGCUUUGUGAAGUUUCAUGAAUAUCACUGGGGGUGGGGCGAGGUGGAAAAUGAGCCGAGAGAAUCUGGCUAUUAAACACAUUACCUGCAUUUAUGGUUCUCGUGCCCCAAGGCCUGGGAUAAAUCGGAGAAGGAAAAACAUUCCACUCUGGCUCUCAGUGACCCCUGAAGGAAACCCCCCAUGGAGUCGUUUAGGAUAGUAAUUUGAGCAUAGACUCCAGCAUGCCGCUCCUAGCCUUCCCUCCAUAAACUCAGGAGCCUCAUGAUAAUCGGCACCAAAGUGCUUGAAAAUGUGGCCCAGAACCCUUCCAGAUGAGGGUCGGGCUCAAAGAAAUAAAAAGUUAAGGGCGCGUUGCUAUGGCGUUAACAUUGAGGGAGUGUGCACGGACUUCAAACUGUGCGCUGAAAGUAUGUUCUUUCUGUGUGCCCUGCCCAUGAAACGCUAAGCCAGCAAAACCAUUAAAACGUCAGACAGGCAGCCAGGUGGGAGAAACGCAUGUUUAAUGAUAAGCAUGUAGCCCAUGGUAAUUGUGUCCCCUGAAAAGUUAAAGAUGGGGGAAAGAGAGAAAUUGAGAAGAAAGCAUGCGGGGUGGGGGAGUGUGGAGGGGUGAGCGCGCUGGGCUCCUUCUGCCCUAUGCUGAGCAGGCCGCCCUCCUUACCUAGCAAAGCUCACAAAACCAUCUCCACUCCUUCCCUUUCUUUCACUCUCUGCAGUAAGUCCUGAGUCCCAAAUUACUUUCAAAAUCCUGGGCUGAAUCAUACAAAGUUGCCAAAGCUUCUUUGGUCUACAAAAAGUGUCAGCUAUGUGGUUCAAUUUAAUUAGGUCUCAGACUAGCUCCUUUGUCCGUGUCCGCCAUCACUGUCUUGGCGCAUUGUUCUCUUACAAAGUGAGCUUAGGACACAACUGCACACACACAGGCUAGUGCUGCUGUGAGGGAGACACAGGUCUGCAGAAGGUGGCAUUCUGGUUUUCAGUUCCUUCCUCCACACUGGAAAGAACAGAGUUCUUGCAGCAUGCUGCUGCCGGCCUCUCUGGGGGCCUUUCUGAAGGACAGUGCUUGUUUUGCCUAACAGAUCUCAAGUGAGAAGCUGUGAGCUGAGCAAGUUCAUCAGACUCAGGGCAAGAGACUGCAGGUGGAGAAGCUGUGUCCCCUAAGGAGAAGCUGGGGUGAGAAUUUAAGGGAGGCAUUGCAAAGGGUGACACAGUGGCUGGAGAGGUGGCUCAGUGCUUAAGAGCACUCCAGAGGUCCAGAGUGCCGUUUCCAGGACCCACAACGGCCUGUACUCUAGGGGAUCUAAUGCCCUCUUCUGGCCUUUGUAGGCAUACACACACACACACACACACACAUAUACACACACACAUACACUGCAUUUUUGUAAAGGAGGAAGGAAGGAAAGAAGGAAAGAAGGAAAGAAGGAAGGAAGGAAGGAAGGAAGGAAGGAGGAGAAAAAAGUCACAUAAACCCCCGAAACACAUGUUUGGAGACAUUAAGAUUGCUCCUCAGGCUGGUCCCCUAACUCAGAAAAUUACUAAAAGACAUCCUUUGCUAAAGAAGUCCUUUGCAAAGGUUGGCCGUCAUGGCUGUGUUUUGUUUGUUUGUUGGUUGGCUUGUUUUUUUGUUUUAUCAAGUAUCUGAUUUUCAACAACAAAGUCAUACUAUGUACAAAGAAAUGGAAAACACAGCCCACCAAAGGAUAAAAAUAAAGUAACACAACUUC
Molecule: long non-coding RNA, 4113 nt
Organism: Meriones unguiculatus (Mongolian gerbil)
Lineage: Eukaryota; Metazoa; Chordata; Mammalia; Rodentia; Muridae
Exons: 3
Source: RefSeq, a predicted model, not a curated record